This 494-nucleotide ribosomal RNA is filed under the name uncultured bacterium. RNAcentral describes it as "partial 16S ribosomal RNA". It matches the Rfam family "Bacterial small subunit ribosomal RNA", at positions 28 to 507 of the family's 1533-position model. The record is from RNAcentral.
GACGAACGCUGGCGGCGUGCUUAACACAUGCAAGUCGAACGGAAAGGCCUGCUUUCCCUUGUGGAUUGCGGGUACUCGAGUGGCGAACGGGUGAGUAACACGUGAGUGAUCUGCCCCCAACUUGGGUAUAAGCCUGGGAAACUGGGUCUAAUUCCCGAUAGGACUGCAGGGUGGUGCCUGUGGUGGAAAACGAUUUUCUAGUGGUUGGGGAUGAGCUCGCGGCCUAUCAGCUUGUUGGUGGGGUAAUGGCCUACCAAGGCGGCGACGGGUAGCCGGCCUGGGAGGGUGGACGGUCACAUUGGGACUGGGAUACGGCCCAGACUCCUACGGGAGGCAGCAGUGGGGAAUAUUGCACAAUGGGCGGAAGCCUGAUGCAGCGACGCAGUGUGGGGGAUGACGGCAUUCGGGUUGUAAACUCCUUUCGACCGCGAGGAAGCCACCUGGUUGGAAGGGUGGUGACGGUAGUGGUAGAAGAAGCACCGGCUAACUACGUG